RNAcentral lists this ribosomal RNA (1367 nucleotides) under uncultured bacterium. RNAcentral describes it as "16S ribosomal RNA". It matches the Rfam family "Bacterial small subunit ribosomal RNA", at positions 33 to 1381 of the family's 1533-position model. The record is from RNAcentral.
ACGCUGGCGGCGUGCCUAAUACAUGCAAGUCGAGCGAACGGACGAGAAGCUUGCUUCUCUGAUGUUAGCGGCGGACGGGUGAGUAACACGUGGAUAACCUACCUAUAAGACUGGGAUAACUUCGGGAAACCGGAGCUAAUACCGGAUAAUAUUUUGAACCGCAUGGUUCAAAAGUGAAAGACGGUCUUGCUGUCACUUAUAGAUGGAUCCGCGCUGCAUUAGCUAGUUGGUAAGGUAACGGCUUACCAAGGCAACGAUGCAUAGCCGACCUGAGAGGGUGAUCGGCCACACUGGAACUGAGACACGGUCCAGACUCCUACGGGAGGCAGCAGUAGGGAAUCUUCCGCAAUGGGCGAAAGCCUGACGGAGCAACGCCGCGUGAGUGAUGAAGGUCUUCGGAUCGUAAAACUCUGUUAUUAGGGAAGAACAUAUGUGUAAGUAACUGUGCACAUCUUGACGGUACCUAAUCAGAAAGCCACGGCUAACUACGUGCCAGCAGCCGCGGUAAUACGUAGGUGGCAAGCGUUAUCCGGAAUUAUUGGGCGUAAAGCGCGCGUAGGCGGUUUUUUAAGUCUGAUGUGAAAGCCCACGGCUCAACCGUGGAGGGUCAUUGGAAACUGGAAAACUUGAGUGCAGAAGAGGAAAGUGGAAUUCCAUGUGUAGCGGUGAAAUGCGCAGAGAUAUGGAGGAACACCAGUGGCGAAGGCGACUUUCUGGUCUGUAACUGACGCUGAUGUGCGAAAGCGUGGGGAUCAAACAGGAUUAGAUACCCUGGUAGUCCACGCCGUAAACGAUGAGUGCUAAGUGUUAGGGGGUUUCCGCCCCUUAGUGCUGCAGCUAACGCAUUAAGCACUCCGCCUGGGGAGUACGACCGCAAGGUUGAAACUCAAAGGAAUUGACGGGGACCCGCACAAGCGGUGGAGCAUGUGGUUUAAUUCGAAGCAACGCGAAGAACCUUACCAAAUCUUGACAUCCUUUGACAACUCUAGAGAUAGAGCCUUCCCCUUCGGGGGACAAAGUGACAGGUGGUGCAUGGUUGUCGUCAGCUCGUGUCGUGAGAUGUUGGGUUAAGUCCCGCAACGAGCGCAACCCUUAAGCUUAGUUGCCAUCAUUAAGUUGGGCACUCUAAGUUGACUGCCGGUGACAAACCGGAGGAAGGUGGGGAUGACGUCAAAUCAUCAUGCCCCUUAUGAUUUGGGCUACACACGUGCUACAAUGGACAAUACAAAGGGCAGCGAAACCGCGAGGUCAAGCAAAUCCCAUAAAGUUGUUCUCAGUUCGGAUUGUAGUCUGCAACUCGACUACAUGAAGCUGGAAUCGCUAGUAAUCGUAGAUCGGCAUGCUACGGUGAAUACGUUCCCGGGUCU